Molecule: ribosomal RNA, 253 nt
Filed under: uncultured bacterium
Lineage: Bacteria
Description: partial 16S ribosomal RNA
Rfam family: Bacterial small subunit ribosomal RNA
Source: RNAcentral
UACGUAGGGUGCAAGCGUUGUCCGGAAUUAUUGGGCGUAAAGAGCUCGUAGGCGGUCUGUUGCGUCGGCUGUGAAAACCCGAGGCUCAACCUCGGGCCUGCAGCCGAUACGGGCAGACUAGAGUUCGGCAGGGGAGACUGGAAUUCCUGGUGUAGCGGUGAAAUGCGCAGAUAUCAGGAGGAACACCGGUGGCGAAGGCGGGUCUCUGGACAGUUCCUGACGCUGAGGCACGAAGGCCAGGGGAGCAAACGGG